RNAcentral lists this ribosomal RNA (646 nucleotides) under Schizonycha divulsa. RNAcentral's name for it is "eukaryotic LSU rRNA". It matches the Rfam family "Eukaryotic large subunit ribosomal RNA", at positions 663 to 1266 of the family's 3401-position model. Lineage: Eukaryota; Metazoa; Arthropoda; Insecta; Coleoptera; Scarabaeidae. The record is from RNAcentral.
GGACCAAGGAGUCUAGCAUGUGCGCGAGUCAUUGGGAACAUGACGAAACCUAAAGGCGCAAUGAAAGUGAAGGUUCGCCUAGCGCGAACCGAGGGAGGAUGGGCGGUCGCGAGUGACCGCCCCGCACUCCCGGGGCGUCUCGUUCUCAUCGCGAGAAGAGGCGCACCCAGAGCGUACACGCUGGGACCCGAAAGAUGGUGAACUAUGCCUGGUCAGGACGAAGUCAGGGGAAACCCUGAUGGAGGUCCGUAGCGAUUCUGACGUGCAAAUCGAUCGUCGGAACUGGGUAUAGGGGCGAAAGACUAAUCGAACCAUCUAGUAGCUGGUUCCCUCCGAAGUUUCCCUCAGGAUAGCUGGCGCUCGCUUCUUGCGAGUCUCAUUCGGUAAAGCGAAUGAUUAGAGGCAUUGGGGUCGAAACGGCCUCAACCUAUUCUCAAACUUUAAAUGGGUGAGAUCUCCGGCUUGCUUGAACUGUGAAGCCGCGAGAUAUCGGAUCAGAGUGCCAAGUGGGCCACUUUUGGUAAGCAGAACUGGCGCUGUGGGAUGAACCAAACGCCGAGUUAAAGCGCCUAAAUCGACGCUUAUGGGAUACCAUGAAAGGCGUUGGUAACUUAAGACAGCAGGACGGUGGCCAUGGAAGUCGGAA